CCCACAGUGGCACAAACAGUUAAGCACUCAGCUACUAACUGAAAGGUUGGUGGUUCAAAUCCACUCAGAGGCA
This 73-nucleotide transfer RNA is filed under the name Loxodonta africana (African savanna elephant). It matches the Rfam family "tRNA". From Rfam's summary of the family: Transfer RNA (tRNA) molecules are approximately 80 nucleotides in length. Their secondary structure includes four short double-helical elements and three loops (D, anti-codon, and T loops). The record is from Rfam by way of RNAcentral. Lineage: Eukaryota; Metazoa; Chordata; Mammalia; Proboscidea; Elephantidae.